UGGGGAAUUUUGGACAAUGGGCGAAAGCCUGAUCCAGCAAUGCCGCGUGUGUGAAGAAGGCCUUCGGGUUGUAAAGCACUUUUGUCCGGAAAGAAAUCCUUGGCUCUAAUACAGUCGGGGGAUGACGGUACCGGAAGAAUAAGCACCGGCUAACUACGUGCCAGCAGCCGCGGUAAUACGUAGGGUGCAAGCGUUAAUCGGAAUUACUGGGCGUAAAGCGUGCGCAGGCGGUUUGCUAAGACCGAUGUGAAAUCCCCGGGCUCAACCUGGGAACUGCAUUGGUGACUGGCAGGCUAGAGUAUGGCAGAGGGGGGUAGAAUUCCACGUGUAGCAGUGAAAUGCGUAGAGAUGUGGAGGAAUACCGAUGGCGAAGGCAGCCCCCUGGGCCAAUACUGACGCUCAUGCACGAAAGCGUGGGGAGCAAACAGGAUUAGAUACCCUGGUAGUCCACGCCCUAAAACGAUGUCAACUAGUUGUUGGGGAUUCAUUUCCUUAGUAACGUAGCUAAUGCGUGAAGUUGACCGCCUGGGGAGUACGGUCGCAAGAUUAAAACUCAAAUGAAUUGACGGGGUCAUAGCUGUUUCCU
RNAcentral lists this ribosomal RNA (586 nucleotides) under uncultured bacterium. RNAcentral describes it as "partial 16S ribosomal RNA". It matches the Rfam family "Bacterial small subunit ribosomal RNA", at positions 355 to 1375 of the family's 1533-position model. The record is from RNAcentral.